AGUGGAGGGACGGGGAGGAGGCGGGCCGAGCCGGGGGGGGCGGGGCAGCGUGGCCUGGGUGGGCGGGGCGGAGGCGAGCUGGGCCGAGAGGGCGGGUCGGCCCCACCUGAGGCGCCGGAGGCGGGGCGGCCACCCUUUGCCUCGUUGCUGCCCGCUGAGAGCUCCUGACUCGCGGCCGCCCGGAUCCCGCGAGGCAUCGGUACCUCGCGAUGCUGUUCUACUUGGACAGAGCCCGCAGGGGGGACGUGAGCAGGGCGGAAAGGAAGAGACACUCGUCUGUUGUCCCGAAAACCCCUCAGUGCCUUGGCUUCGCGGGGAAAUGGUUGCCUUUGUGCAAGUGGAUCGGCCUGGCCUCUCUUCAUUUGCCUUGUCUUUUAUUUUUCCAAGGAAAAAAUAUCAGCAGAGAAAGUUCCAGACUUUCUCUUCCCAUGCAGCCUUGUUUUCUGUAUUUAGCAAAUGCCAAACAUCGACCAUGUCUGCAAAUUUCCUCUCGGGUGUAGAGAGCAAGAAGCUUGAAUUUCUGGUCUCUCUUGCAAUGGGGAGUGACAAGAUAGACAAUGUUCUGGCCAAAGAGACAAAGGAAAUGAACAAAGGUCUACUGAGAAGACUGAUGUCGCCAUGUGCAGCCAGCAGACUCCCCGAGCCUCGGGCCUCCACCUCUUCUGGGAAGGUUCUCCUCGCUCUUACCAGACCCAGCCGUAUCACCUGCCGCCCUUCCCGGUGGCUGCCGUCCGCUGGCCGUGUGGUCACCGAAGAGCUCCGCUCCUGCUGUUUCCUCCCUGCUCCACCUGCUCUCUUCCCGACGGCCCUACAGAUGGCCAUACUCCUCCGUGGCUUCUCUCUACCUCCACUUGCUCACCUCCAGCGAUCUCCGCCAACACGCUGCGAUCAGGGACCCUGCCCCCUUGUGGGAGGAAGGCUUCGAGCAACCUCACCGUCCCGGCACCUGCCCAGGCAGCUCCUCCGGGCCGUCCAGGGCUCGCGUCACAGUCUCCCUGAAACACUGCCGUCCUCAUUCUUGCUCCUGUGUGAUCACCGCCCUCGCCCUCGGCUGUCUUCUGCUCUUGCACCUGCACCUGCCCCCCCUCCCCAACCCAGCUUCCCCCAGGGGGCUGGGGGAGGGGGAGGAAGCACUCGAUCAGUGAGACUCCUUCCAUUGUAA
Molecule: long non-coding RNA, 1162 nt
Filed under: Felis catus (domestic cat)
Lineage: Eukaryota; Metazoa; Chordata; Mammalia; Carnivora; Felidae
Description: lncRNA (ENSFCAG00000053602.1)
Source: RNAcentral